This is an RNA transcript of Sapajus apella (tufted capuchin), 303 nucleotides long. It is a transcript of the gene named 60S ribosomal protein L13a pseudogene, with no coding region annotated. The transcript has a single exon. The record is from RefSeq and is a predicted model, not a curated record. NCBI's taxonomy places the organism in Eukaryota, Metazoa, Chordata, Mammalia, Primates, Cebidae.
CUAACAGAAAAAGCGGAUGGUGGUUCCUGCGGCCCUCAAGGUUGUGCGUCUGAAGCCUAUAAGGAAGUUUGCCUAUCUGGGGCACCUGGCUCAUGAGGUUGGCUGGAAGUACCAGGCAGUGACAGCCACCCUGGAGGAGAAGAGGAAGGAGAAAGCCAAGAUCCACUACCGGAAGAAGAAACAGCUCAUGAGGCUAUGGAAACAAGCCGAGAAGAACGUGGAGAAGAAAACUGACAAAUACACAGAGGUCCUGAAGACCCAUGGACUCCUAGUCUGACCCCAAUAAAGACUGUUAAUUCCUCA